AUUGAACGCCGGCGGCAUGCCUUACACAUGCAAGUCGAACGGCAGCGGGGGAGAAGCUUGCUUUUCCUGCCGGCGAGUGGCGAACGGGUGAGUAAUACAUCGGAACGUGCCCUGUAGUGGGGGAUAACUAGUCGAAAGAUUAGCUAAUACCGCAUACGACCUGAGGAUGAAAGUGGGGGACCGCAAGGCCUCAUGCUAUAGGAGCGGCCGAUGUCUGAUUAGCUAGUUGGUGGGGUAAAGGCAUACCAAGGCGACGAUCAGUAGCUGGUCUGAGAGGACGAUCAGCCGCACUGGGACUGAGACACGGCCCAGACGCCUACGGGAGGCAGCAGUGGGGAAUUUUGGACAAUGGGCGAAAGCCUGAUCCAGCAAUGCCGCGUGUGUGAAGAAGGCCUUCGGGUUGUAAAGCACUUUUGUCCGGAAAGGAAUGGCUCUGGUUAAUACCUGGGGUCGAUGACGGUACCGGAAGAAUAAGGACCGGCUAACAACGUGCCAGCAGCCGCGGUAA
Molecule: ribosomal RNA, 508 nt
Filed under: uncultured bacterium
Lineage: Bacteria
Description: partial 16S ribosomal RNA
Rfam family: Bacterial small subunit ribosomal RNA
Source: RNAcentral